UUUAAGCAUUAUGAUUAUAGUACAGCUUUCUUUCAGAUUAACCAUGAACCGAAUUAAAAGAAGAACAUGGGACAGUCUAGACUUCAAAUGGAAGAACGACGAUACGCACAACUUCGACGCACCUUCUGACAUAGAGCCUGACUAUGAUAGCCCAAGUAUACCGAACAACCCGCACACGUACGAAAAGAAGACGCACAUGCGAAAAAACAAAACAGAAUUCGAACCAUCGCGAAUGACGAGUCCUCUUAAUCGAACUAUUAUAAAUUUAACGGAAGAUGGCGCCACGAUCCAGUGUAGUUAUGACAACAACCAAACAGCAAGGAAGAAUGUGUUCACGAAUGAAACGAAUAGAGAUAAAGAAAAGAAGACGAUUGUGGUGGAGGUGCACCACGUGGCGCCCGCGGCCUGCGCCAACACGCACUGCAACUUCCCCCCGCCCAUGAAGAAAGACAUCAAUUCUGACACUACAAGUAUAUCAAGCACGGCGACCUUAUCUAGCGCUAUCGCCGAGGAAAUACAAAGGCGGAAAAUGAACAAGAAAACUCCUGUUGAAAUUCCGCCAGUUUUAAACCCAGUUAAGAAACCGACCGCACCGAAGCCCGUUGACGAUAAGAAGAAACAACAUGACGCGUUGAUGGACGAAUUCAAGAAAGUCCAUAGAAAAAUGUUCGCAAACCAAGAUGAGAGUGAAGCGGCACUAACCGAUUGUACGGAUGGCGUGGAUCGCCAACCAACACUACAGAUUAAGAAAGACAAACCUGAACCAGUUCCCGCAGAAGCUCCUGUCAGCAAUGGCGUGAAGCAACACAAAGAUGUCGUAGACAGCCCACCGCCCCCGCCCCCAAUGCCAAUAGCAAACGGUCAUCAAAACGGUGAAAGUAAAAAAGUCGAGAAUCUAAAACAAAAAUUAGAAAAAGCUGACCACAUUAAUAAUUCAAACGUAAAAAAGAUCGGUACCCUCAAUCGCACGCCAACACCAGAUUAUAACAACAAAUCAGAGACACAAUUACAGUACAAUUUGAAGAACAUUAAAGAAGAAAAUGCUGAAAUAGAGUCACUCGAAUCUUAUAAAUUAAAGAAUCCUCUAAAUGUACAGCCAAAACCACCGCCUAAUUAUUUCGUAAGAGCUCCGAAUGGGACGGCGACUAUGAAGAAAAUUGCACGACCGGUUUCAGUUACCAUAGGGGAAUAUGUUAACAAUGUUGGAAGAAGAGAACCACUGAAACUCGAUUUUCUCAAUGGUGACAAAGUGGACGGUCAUAUAAUCCCAGACGAUGAAUCGAUAUCAAGUAGACUACAAUCAGAAUUAGCGCUUACAUUGUCUAGAUCCAAUUUACGUAAGAAGACUGAAGCCCUGGAUAAAACUGUCAAAAUGUCUGUAAAUAAGGCCGUGCAUAAGAAAGAGGUAUCUUUAGAUAAGAACUUUCACGUCAGAUACGGCAAUAACAUCUUACCGCUGCCUCCGUCCAUCAGAAUACCUAAAGUGUCCAAAACUAAACAUUGAUCGAUUCGUGCUACAAUUCGUCCUGUUAUGCUUCUAGCUUCAUAAUUUUAUGGAUGUAAUGUAACAAAUGCAUAAAAAGUGAAGUUUAAAGCGACUAUUAAUGAAAUGCGGACGCGGGGCGAUGACGUGUGUUUGCUACAAAUAAUGUCGCAACUAUUUAUUAUUAGGCAAUUUUAGUGCUAGCAUUGUAAUUUUUUCUAAGAUAUUAUAUUGUAUUUGCGUUUCUAUAAUUUAACGAUACGUAUAAAUACAAAGUUAUAAGAUAUAAAAUAUUCAAGGACUUUAUUUUUGUUUCUAAGAUAAUUGCAAAUAUAAAAUGACCGUCCUUUAUAUCAUAUCACUGUUAAUGUUUUUGGCCCUAUGAUCGUUCCCCAUAACAAAAAAUACUGGACAUAGAUAUAGAUAAAACUAAACACAGAUUUUUUUUAAAUUAAAAAUAAAAACAUUUGGUUAAAUCUAUAAAUUUCAACCAAAGUUAUUUGCUAGGUAUGUGUAACGUAACAAUAAAUCAACUUAUCAAUUAUUUUUAGUUCAAUACUGUUUAAAAUCAUUAAAAGUGUAAAAAUUUGCAUCUGAAAAAUAAAAGAUUUG
This is an RNA transcript of Papilio polytes (common Mormon), 2095 nucleotides long. RefSeq lists it as uncharacterized. NCBI's taxonomy places the organism in Eukaryota, Metazoa, Arthropoda, Insecta, Lepidoptera, Papilionidae. The record is from RefSeq and is a predicted model, not a curated record. The transcript is spliced from 6 exons.